Molecule: non-coding RNA, 233 nt
Organism: Paramuricea clavata
Lineage: Eukaryota; Metazoa; Cnidaria; Anthozoa; Malacalcyonacea; Plexauridae
Source: the annotation of a GenBank genome assembly
UUGUUGAAAGUUUGGAAAGUUAAUCUGAAAAUCACAAUAUGUUUCUUUCAAUGUUGAUUAUGGAUGUUAUUUCGAGUCGUCAAAUAUUGAAUCUUACAAAAAGCAAAUAGUGAUCAAUUGAAGAUCAAUUCCUGGACAUAAAUAAAAUGGAUUUGUUGAGGAACAAGGCGGUUCUAUACAGUACUGACUUAUAGGAGGGUUGUGUACUUCAGUUGGGGUUUUUUAUUCUUGUG